GUGCCAGCAGCUGCGNUAAUACGGGGGGAGCAAGCGUUGUUCGGAUUUACUGGGCGUAAAGGGCGCGUAGGCGGCGCAACAANUCACUUGUGAAAUCUCCGGGCUUAACCCGGAGCGGCCAAGUGAUACUGUCGUGCUAGAGUGCGGAAGGGGCUACCGGAAUUNUCGGUGUAGCGGUGAAAUGCGUAGAUAUCGAGAGGAACACCUGCGGCGAAGGCGGGUAGCUGGNCCGACACUGACGCUGAGGCGCGAAAGCCAGGGGAGCGAACGGGAUUAGAUACCCCGGUAUUCCUGCCCCUUAAACGAUGGAUGCUUGGUGUUCCGGGGUUACAUNGUACCCCGGGUGCCGGCGCUAAACGCAUUAAGCAUCCCGCCUGGGGAGUA
This 384-nucleotide ribosomal RNA is filed under the name uncultured bacterium #0319-8B9. RNAcentral describes it as "bacterial SSU rRNA". It matches the Rfam family "Bacterial small subunit ribosomal RNA", at positions 505 to 882 of the family's 1533-position model. The record is from RNAcentral. Lineage: Bacteria; Pseudomonadati; Acidobacteriota.